AUCGCACUUUGGAAACGCGCCUAUUCUUUGGCAUAUAACAACUUCUCACUUAGUCGAGCUUCGAAUCGGAAGGAUUUUGCAUUUUCAACAUCAAUGGAGGUUCCUCAUCCUCUCUCCUCUUCACUUCUCCCACCUCCACCCAUCAUCCCUCCUCCUCCUCUCUCUCGCCUACUCCACGCCUCUCUCUCUCUCUCCUCCUGCUCCCACACUCACUUCAGAGCCCGACCCAUGUCUUCUUUCCCCCACAAAACCCUUUCUGUCCAUUCCAUUUACGGCUUGCUCUUCUGAGAUCGCCAUUAUGACUGUUGGUGAAGAGUCUUCAAGAUGGAGAAACCCUCCAUUCACCAGAUUCUCCGUAAAGUUUCCAUCUUUUCCAACAUAUACAACUAACAUUUGCGUACAUUUGCGUGUAUAGAGAGUUAAUUUUUUGAAUUUUUGCUGGUACUUCUUGUGGGUAUGGUGAGUUUAUUUCAGGAAAGAUAGAAUUCCCUUUCUCAAUAGUAAAAGAGGUGGCAGUAAGAAGGUUAAAUUACCAUAACGCAAUGCUCUUUUCGUCGAUGGAAUUUGGAAAAAGAUUCUUGAUUUAUUCUGGCACAUGCAACAAUUAAUACCCACUCUAUGUCUUUUGCUUCAUUUGUUGAGCCAUGAGAGGACAUUUGCUUUGGGUGAAUUUUGUUCUUUUCUGAACUUAGGCUCCGUUCCAGUAAGGUUGUUAUUUUUUAAGUACUUGUUUUCCGCUUUACAAAACAGGUUAUUCUCUCACAAUAUAUCACUUCUAGUUAAAAGAUAACUGUCGGUUUUUGUUUUGGUUUUGGUUUUAGUUUUAAGUUUCGGUUCUGGUAUUACCAAUACCCGAAACUGAACAGCACCGCGCCAUCACGGGUGGUCCAAUCCGAAUAGUCAGAUACGUAGCUGUCAUCAAGUCUUGAUCUGCUGGGGCAAAACAUUCAAAUGGUGUCGUCCAAAAGAUAACCUUAUCAAACCCAUGCUUAUUGAAAACAGACGUGCUUAUAGUAUGCCUGAGUAAUUGGAUUUGGCGGGUCCGAAAAUGAACCGUUGAGAAUUUGAUUAGCAACCCAGAAGUUUGCAGCUUCGGAGUAGUGAACACCAUCCCAGCUGAUGACUGUUGAUGGAUCUUCGCAAGAACCGCCAAAUACUUCAGCCCCGUUUAUGUUCACCUUACUGCCACACCCGACGCUGAUACCAUUCCCGUAAUGCCCGCAGCAGAUGUUGAACGGGUCCAAAAAUCCUGAAAUUUAUCAAAAACAAUUCGAGUUCAACGAAGGAUCUUGACCCUUGUCUGUUAAACACCUCAGCAAUGUUUGAAUUAAGGACAGCGAGCUGACCAGCUUGUUGCUUCUAGUUUUGAAUCUAAAACACAACUGGGGAUGAUGUGAAUUUGUAGUUGGUAUGGUUUCAAGGGAUCACCUUGAUUCUUUGCGUCGUUGAUUAGUCGAUACUUUGCAGCGUACAUAUCGACAUAUGUUAGUGCAGCUUGAGGGAGAUCUGCCCUUAGUUGAGUCACUGCAUCCUUGAGCUGUUUAUUGAACUCUACAGCAGCAGCAUUCCAACCCUUGAUGCAGCCGUGCUCAUCGAGAUAUCCAGGCUUUGGAUUUUGGAUAUUCACUGUGGCUAAAGGCAAACAACCGAUCGGGCCUGUGUUAUGUAUCCAGAAUGCUCUUGCUCCUUCUUGAUACAGUUGCUGUCAAUUAAGAGCAAUAUCACAUACAACAGGUGUUGUGAAACUAUUUUCAGUUUUUUCCCAUCAAAGAUUUGGACUUACUUGGACUGCUGCAGAAAACUUGUUCACUAUGUCUGGUAUUUCAGCUCGAAAUUGUUCAUCGUUCAUAUUCCUAAAACCCACCACGAGAUCAUUCUGUCCGAUAUCAAUUGUGUAAAGAGCCUUUGAGAAGUCCUCGGGUAUGGGGAGAUUGCUUCUCUGGGAUAUUUCAGUAUCGGCUGAAAAUCGUUUCAUUAAUUACACCAUAGCAUUAUUAGAUCAAAA
Molecule: long non-coding RNA, 2005 nt
Organism: Rhododendron vialii
Lineage: Eukaryota; Viridiplantae; Streptophyta; Magnoliopsida; Ericales; Ericaceae
Exons: 3
Source: RefSeq, a predicted model, not a curated record